This is a long non-coding RNA of Prunus persica (peach), 525 nucleotides long. RefSeq lists it as uncharacterized. The record is from RefSeq and is a predicted model, not a curated record. Lineage: Eukaryota; Viridiplantae; Streptophyta; Magnoliopsida; Rosales; Rosaceae. The transcript is spliced from 2 exons.
GUCAGUCUCUCAGCUUGUACCAAAAACAGACAAGGAAAAUUGGCGAAGGAAAAGGCAGCAGGGCUGAUAGAAAAUGCAGGGAAGACUACUUGUAGUUAGAAAUUUGGCAAUAAAGAGGCCAGAGCUGCUGUGGCGUCUUAUGACAACAAUCAAAUCUCCCAACCGGGCUGCUGUUCACGGACACAGGCCGCCUAUCCCUCGCGUCGUCGACGAGGAGGAAGUGGAGAAAGUGAUAGAGAAAGGGAAAGAGGAGAAAGAGAAGAAGAGGCAAGAGGUGGAGAAGGUUGUGGACUCUCAACUCAAGCGCUCUGAUAUUGACACCUGUCCUCCUGAAAGUGCUACUUAGUUUACCAUCAGAAUCAUGUUCAUCGCGUCAUGUUGUAUGUUGUAUGGAUCUAAAGCUGUAAUUUAAUGAUGCUAAUGAACUUGUAUGGAUCUAAAGCUGUAAUUUAAUGAUGCUAAUGAACUUGUUGUCAAAAUGAUUUCAACACUGAUACAAAUAAUGCCAAGAUUAGUUCACGUGCA